Molecule: small nuclear RNA, 176 nt
Filed under: Equus asinus (donkey)
Lineage: Eukaryota; Metazoa; Chordata; Mammalia; Perissodactyla; Equidae
Description: U2 spliceosomal RNA (ENSEASG00005036179.1, ENSEASG00020002863.1)
Rfam family: U2 spliceosomal RNA
About the family: U2 is a small nuclear RNA (snRNA) component of the spliceosome (involved in pre-mRNA splicing).
Source: Rfam by way of RNAcentral
AUUGCUUCUAGGCCUUUUGGCUAAGAUCAAGUGUGAAGUUGCCUUUUAUUUUGUUGACACUGGAUUUAAUUCAAAUUAAUGAAGAAAAUAUUUUGCAUAAUACGUAUAGCAGUAAUUCAUUGCUUACUACAAGCUAGGCACUGUGCUAUUGCUUCACAUACAAUGUCUAACUUAAC